AGACCCAAAAAAUAGUUCCUUACAUGCCU
Molecule: non-coding RNA, 29 nt
Filed under: Rattus norvegicus (Norway rat)
Lineage: Eukaryota; Metazoa; Chordata; Mammalia; Rodentia; Muridae
Source: RNAcentral